RNAcentral lists this ribosomal RNA (467 nucleotides) under uncultured bacterium. RNAcentral's name for it is "partial 16S ribosomal RNA". It matches the Rfam family "Bacterial small subunit ribosomal RNA", at positions 28 to 506 of the family's 1533-position model. The record is from RNAcentral.
GACGAACGCUGGCGGCGUGCUUAACACAUGCAAGUCGAACGGAAAGGCCCUGCUUUUGUGGGGUGCUCGAGUGGCGAACGGGUGAGUAACACGUGAGUAACCUGCCCUUGACUUUGGGAUAACUUCAGGAAACUGGGGCUAAUACCGGAUAGGAGCUCCUGCUGCAUGGUGGUGGUUGGAAAGUUUCGGCGGUUGGGGAUGGACUCGCGGCUUAUCAGCUUGUUGGUGGGGUAGUGGCUUACCAAGGCUUUGACGGGUAGCCGGCCUGAGAGGGUGACCGGCCACAUUGGGACGGAGAUACGGCCCAGACUCCUACGGGAGGCAGCAGUGGGGAAUAUUGCACAAUGGGCGGAAGCCUGAUGCAGCAACGCCGCGUGCGGGAUGACGGCCUUCGGGUUGUAAACCGCUUUCGCCUGUGACGAAGCGUGAGUGACGGUAAUGGGUAAAGAAGCACCGGCUAACUACGU